Molecule: long non-coding RNA, 1887 nt
Organism: Uranotaenia lowii
Lineage: Eukaryota; Metazoa; Arthropoda; Insecta; Diptera; Culicidae
Exons: 2
Source: RefSeq, a predicted model, not a curated record
AUAGAAAAAAACUGCAGCACUAUGUAGAAAGCAAGGUGUGUAUAUAUUUAGGAGGUGUAUCGAUAAAUCGAAUUCCCGAUUCAGCCAUUUUGGUUUGCGAACUGCGAACUUUCAUGGAGUUUGUUUACCAACAAACCACUGAACAGCUGUGAUCUAAGCAGCAGCAGCCGAGUCCGUUCGAUUUUUCUUUCCGGGUCCCUCGAAAUCACCGAAGUUGUAGUCACUCAUGCCGCUGCCGGAGUCCUCCCGCGGGGUACAAGGUUCUCUGUGGUACAAGUUCGUUCGCCGGGUUAUUUUUCACGCUAAAGAGUCCGUUGUUGUUAGGUACCGGGCGUAGGAGACAUCCAUCGGCCGAAUUUGCCUGAAUAUUGAGGUAAUGGCAGAAUGUGCAUUCCGGAUCCCAUCAGUCCCGCAGGACUGUAAUUGCCAGGUGAUGAGAUUGAACAGUUUAUGGACGAGGUUGCAUUUCCUAGCUCGAGCAGUUUCAUUUCAAUGGAAGCCUUUGGAACUGCUGCCGAUCGUUCCCAUGUUGACUUUAAAUGGUUGCUGCACGUUAGUUUUUCUUCUUCCGGAGACGGAUUCGAUCCUAAGUAAACACUUAAGCUGGGAUUUGUUAUGGUGGAGCUGGCUGCGAUUGGAAACUGGAGUGGCAGUCAAAGCAGAGGUGCUAGUACAAAUGCAAGGCACCCGUUACCCGCAGAGUAUUCGUGUUAAUUUUUUUCACACACCGCGCCGAGACACAAAUCGACAUGGAUUUUGUUUACCAACAAAGCCCUAAGUUCCUGUGCCCCAUUUUUCAUCAGCUGUUCUGGUACAGGAAGACAAUUUUCAUCAAAGAAAUUGCUGGUUACAACGUGAACAAUGUGUUUUUGAAGUGGUCGACAGCAAAGUGUAGGAUUUCAAUUAGCUGCCUAUCAUCGCAUGAAAAUCUUCGUCGAUUAUCCUUAUCGGGAUAAAAGAUCCACGGGCGAUAGGUUGACAACGAAUGCAAAACCAAACAUUUUGAGUAUGUUGAAGUUACGCUGUAAAGGUUGGUGCUGUGUUUUAAUGAUAGUAUUGGAUGCAUCAUAUCAUCUAAUUCUCAAUUAGGCCGGAACAAAUUUCAAAUCCUUCUUUUGUCACUCGGUGUUGGAACAUCGCGAGGGGGGGGACAAUAAAAAAUAAUGCGAAAAACAAAAAAAUUGGAAUAAAUUGCACGGAAGCUUGUAUGCAACAAAAUUUCAUAAUAUAUUGUUGCACAAAACCCAUAAAUCAAGUAAUUUUUUAUCGAAUAAUUCAAUGAAAUCGAGAAAACAAAAGGUGAAAUAACUCCCAUCUUCUUAAAUUUAAUUUUUAGUCUUGUAAACUUUCAGAUAUUGGAAUUUUUUAUAGGAAUUAACAUAAAUUACUUCAAACUUUAUUUAUUUCCCCCUUCGGGUUUUUGGAAAUUUCGAAGGGGGGGGGGGGUGACAAAAGAAGAAAUUGAUAUUUUUUCCAGCCUUACUUUUUCAAAUGAUUCUCUAUUGAAAUGCUUUCAGCUUUUUGACCAUCAGCAUGGAGUCCGAGGGCUCUCAAGCCAAAUGGGAAAUUAGUUACCAGAUUAAAAUAUCGUUCAACGACCAUUCCACCGACUAUGUUCUGCUAUGGACUAUAUCUCGAAUUUCGAUUUUCAUCCGGGUGCGAUGGUUACGGUGUCGGAAAUGAAGGAAGAGGCUUGGAAGAAGCUUAGCUAAAGUGGGCUUUCCUUAUCCGAGGAAAAAAAAAUAAAAAGGGCGAGCAACAGGUUUGGCCAAAUAACACGAAAUGCAGAUGAGAUGAAAAAAGAAAAGGAGAUUCAAUGCUUGAUUGCUUGGGAAUAGAAAAUAAUUUGAAAAAUAAAAAUGUAGAAGAUUUAUUCUCGGAUACCAA